This 31-nucleotide non-coding RNA is filed under the name Rattus norvegicus (Norway rat). The record is from RNAcentral. Lineage: Eukaryota; Metazoa; Chordata; Mammalia; Rodentia; Muridae.
UGAGAGUCCUUGCUCACGGCUAUGAUGUCUU